CGUAGGGUGCGAGCGUUAAUCGGAAUUACUGGGCGUAAAGUGUGCGCAGGCGGCCGAGCAAGUCGAGUGUGAAAGCCCCGGGCUUAACUUGGGAAUUGCGCUCGAAACUACUUGGCUGGAGUGUGGCAGAGGAAGGUGGAAUUCCACGUGUGGCGGUGAAAUGCGUAGAGAUGUGGAGGAACACCGAUGGCGAAGGCAGCCUUCUGGGCCAACACUGACGCUCAUGCACGAAAGCGUGGGGAGCAAACAGGAUUAGAUACCCUGGUAGUCCACGCCCUAAACGAUGAUGACUAGUUGUUGGGGGAGUUAAAUCCCUUAGUAACGCAGCUAACGCGUGAAGUCAUCCGCCUGGGGAGUACGGUCGCAAGAUUA
Molecule: ribosomal RNA, 372 nt
Filed under: uncultured organism
Description: bacterial SSU rRNA
Rfam family: Bacterial small subunit ribosomal RNA
Source: RNAcentral